GACGUAGGGCGCGAGCGUUGUCCGGAUUUAUUGGGCGUAAAGAGCUCGUAGGCGGCUUGUCGCGUCGACUGUGAAAACCCGUGGCUCAACCAUGUGGUCUGCAGUCGAUACGGGCAGGCUAGAAUUCGGUAGGGGAGACUGGAAUUCCUGGUGUAGCGGUGAAAUGCGCAGAUAUCAGGAGGAACACCGGUGGCGAAGGCGGGUCUCUGGGCCGAUACUGACACUGAGACGCGAAAGCGUGGGUAGCAAACAGG
This 254-nucleotide ribosomal RNA is filed under the name uncultured bacterium. RNAcentral's name for it is "partial 16S ribosomal RNA". It matches the Rfam family "Bacterial small subunit ribosomal RNA", at positions 524 to 776 of the family's 1533-position model. The record is from RNAcentral.